Molecule: ribosomal RNA, 221 nt
Filed under: uncultured bacterium
Lineage: Bacteria
Description: partial 16S ribosomal RNA
Rfam family: Bacterial small subunit ribosomal RNA
Source: RNAcentral
UGGCGCACGGGUGCGUAACGCGUGGGAAUCUGCCCUUUGCUUCGGAAUAACAGUUAGAAAUGACUGCUAAUACCGGAUAAUGACGCAAGUCCAAAGAUUUAUCGGCAAAGGAUGAGCCCGCGUAGGAUUAGCUAGUUGGUGGGGUAAAAGCUCACCAAGGCGACGAUCUGUAGCUGGUUUGAGAGAACGACCAGCCACACUGGGACUGAGACACGGCCCAG